AUUGAACGCUGGCGGCAGGCCUAACACAUGCAAGUCGAGCGGAUGAAGGGAGCUUGCUCCUGGAUUCAGCGGCGGACGGGUGAGUAAUGCCUAGGAAUCUGCCUGGUAGUGGGGGAUAACGUCCGGAAACGGGCGCUGAUACCGCAUACGUCCUGAGGGAGAAAGUGGGGGAUCUUCGGACCUCACGCUAUCAGAUGAGCCUAGGUCGGAUUAGCUAGUUGGUGGGGUAAAGGCCUACCAAGGCGACGAUCCGUAACUGGUCUGAGAGGAUGAUCAGUCACACUGGAAAUGAGACACGGUCCAGACUCCUAAGGGAGGCAGCAGUGGGGAAUAUUGGACAAUGGGCGAAAGCCUGAUCCAGCCAUGCCGCGUGUGUGAAGAAGGUCUUCGGAUUGUAAAGCACUUUAAGUUGGGAGGAAGGGCAGUAAGUUAAUACCUUGCUGUUUUGACGUUACCAGCAGAAUAAGCACCGGCUAACUUCGUG
Molecule: ribosomal RNA, 484 nt
Filed under: uncultured bacterium
Lineage: Bacteria
Description: partial 16S ribosomal RNA
Rfam family: Bacterial small subunit ribosomal RNA
Source: RNAcentral